Molecule: long non-coding RNA, 1313 nt
Filed under: Marmota monax (woodchuck)
Lineage: Eukaryota; Metazoa; Chordata; Mammalia; Rodentia; Sciuridae
Source: RNAcentral
AGAAGAGAAGCCGAGGGAGAAACCGCCUGUUUUUCCUCUGGGUGAGCAGCCCGGGCUGAUCGGGCCUUGGGGAUGCUCCGAACCCUGUUCUAACAUUUUGGUUCCAUUAUCUGACUUGGUCUUUGAAGCAUCCUUUUGAAGAUCCUACAGUUCAGGAAGCAGAGAACUCACUAAGAAUUGCCGGGAAGGCCUUCUGGAGGCGGGGGGCAGUCCCUGAGUUGGGUGGUGAGGGACUCAAAGGAUUUGGGGUAUUUAUUUUGCUUUAGUGGCUAUUGAACCCGGGGGCUCCCUUCCACUGAGCCUCAUUCCCAGCCUUUUUUGGUUUUUGAGACAGGAUCUUGCUAAGUAACCCAAGCUGACCUCAAACUUGUGAUUCUCCUGCCUCAGCCUCCGGUGUUGCUGGGAUUACAGGCUGUGCGGCUGCUCCAAGCCUGGGGUAUGAAAGCGCUGGAGGAGGAAUCUCGGGGAUCAUGGGACACAGGGGGAUCUUUGGAGGAGGAAUUUCUGCUCGUGUUGAUGCUGUUUAGUUCUACCAGUUUUCAUUGAGCAUCUACUAUGUGUCAGCACCAAAGAGAUUGCAGAACUCUGCAGCAGCCCUGGAAACACACAGCGGGGCGAUGUGAGGAGGGGAGUUUGUUUCUGUGUCACAUCCAAAGAGCAGUGGCUGUGACUUUUGUACUUUCUAGCUGAAUAGCUCUGGACAGGUCAUACAACUUCUCUAAGUGAGCCUGGUUACCUAUUUGGUAAAAGAGAUUAGAACCGCUUCACCCCCAUAAGUUUGUUCUGUGAAUCAAAUGAGACCAGGUCUGGGGAGCUCUUUGUACCUACCCAAAGGGGACGGUUCUGCUUUGAUGAAGAUGAAAGCCAUUCGCAGCAGCCUAGGAGUCUGGGGCAGGAGGAUUGUAAGUUGGAGCCCAGUGAGACCCUGCCUAAAAAUACAAAUUAAAAAGGGCUGGGGAUGUAGCUCAGAGGUAGAGCACUCCUGGGUUCCACUCCAGUACCGCAAAGCAAAGUUCCUUUCUUUUUUGUUUAUUUCUCUGUACCCACCUUUUGCCUCCUAAUGCAGGGCUGGGGCCAGGGCCGGGGCCAGGAAAUCACUCGGUUCUCAUCCUUGACUUUGCCCUCCUUUAUCUCUUCUCCCUUCCUCUCCACUCCCCAGCUGGAUGGACGGGGCUGGACAUGUGUGGCAAAGGAAUAAGGUCAGCUUAAGUCUUUUUUUUUUUUUUGAUACCAGGGAUUGAACCCAGGGGUGCUCAACCACUGAGCCACAUCCCCAGCCUUUUUUAAUAUUUAUUUUUUAGUUUUAAGUGGUC